AUGUCAGUGGUGGACUCCUGGCAGUUCUGUGCCAAGCUCGGCCGCCAAUUCAUGAAAGGGUGGGGAGCUAACCUUGGUAGGGACCUCCGCGAACGGAAAAAAGUCCUCCUUUCAGCCAUCCAGGCCUUGGAUUACCGCGCGGACACCUCCGGGAUCUCCCCGGAUGAGUGGAUGGUGCGAUAUGAUCUCGAGGAUCAGCUCGCUACCAUCUACACGGAUGAAGAAGCUUACUGGAGGCUCCGCGGUACCCAGCGUUGGGUGCUGCGGGGCGACGCUAAUACGGCA
RNAcentral lists this ribosomal RNA (285 nucleotides) under Triticum aestivum (bread wheat). RNAcentral's name for it is "partial small subunit ribosomal RNA". Lineage: Eukaryota; Viridiplantae; Streptophyta; Magnoliopsida; Poales; Poaceae. The record is from RNAcentral.